This 432-nucleotide ribosomal RNA is filed under the name uncultured bacterium. Its description in RNAcentral is "partial 16S ribosomal RNA". It matches the Rfam family "Bacterial small subunit ribosomal RNA", at positions 29 to 506 of the family's 1533-position model. The record is from RNAcentral.
AACGAACGCUGGCGGCAUGCCUAACACAUGCAAGUCGAACGAGACCUUCGGGUCUAGUGGCGCACGGGUGCGUAACGCGUGGGAACCUGCCCUUAGGUUCGGAAUAACUCCCCGAAAGGGGUGCUAAUACCGGAUAAUGUCUUCGGACCAAAGAUUUAUCGCCUUUGGAUGGGCCCGCGUUGGAUUAGCUAGUUGGUAGGGUAAAAGCCUACCAAGGCGACGAUCCAUAGCUGGUCUGAGAGGAUGAUCAGCCACACUGGGACUGAGACACGGCCCAGACUCCGACGGGAGGCAGCAGUGGGGAAUAUGGGACAAUGGGCGAAAGCCUGAGCCAGCAAUGCCGCGAGAGUGAUGAAGGCCUUAGGGUUGUAAAGCUCUUUUACCCGGGAUGAUAAUGACAGUACCGGGAGAAUAAGCUCCGGCUAACUCCGG